GCCAGCAUCCAUAUCACCCUGCAACUCACUGAAGCUCAGCAGGUGUGAGCCUGGUCAGUACCUGGAUGGGAGGCCUCCUGGGAAAGCUAAGGCUGCUGCUGGAA
Molecule: ribosomal RNA, 104 nt
Filed under: Lepisosteus oculatus (spotted gar)
Lineage: Eukaryota; Metazoa; Chordata; Actinopteri; Semionotiformes; Lepisosteidae
Source: RNAcentral